Molecule: ribosomal RNA, 495 nt
Filed under: uncultured bacterium
Lineage: Bacteria
Description: bacterial SSU rRNA
Rfam family: Bacterial small subunit ribosomal RNA
Source: RNAcentral
AAAUGAAUAGACGGGGGCCCGCACAAGCGGUGGAGCAUGUGGUUUAAUUCGAAGCAACGCGAAGAACCUUACCAAGGCUUGACAUGGGAGUGACCGGUACAGAGAUGUAUCUUUCCUACGGGACACUCCACACAGGUGGUGCAUGGUUGUCGUCAGCUCGUGUCGUGAGAUGUUGGGUUAAGUCCCGCAACGAGCGCAACCCUUAUCUUUAGUAGCCAUCGGGUAAAGCCGGGCACACUAGAGAGACUGCCGUGGAUAACACGGAGGAAGGUGGGGAUGACGUCAAAUCAUCAUGCCCCUUAUGUCUUGGGCUACACACGUGCUACAAUGGUUGAUACAAAGUGACGCGAACCCGCGAGGGUAAGCAAACCACAAAAAAACAGCCCCAGUUCGGAUUGUAGGCUGCAACCCGCCUACAUGAAGUUGGAAUCGCUAGUAAUCGCGAAUCAGCAUGUCGCGGUGAAUACGUUCCCGGGCCUUGUACACACCGCCCGU